GCCUGGUUGGCUCAGUCAGUACAGCAUGUGACCCUUGAUCUCGGGCUCCUGAGUCUGAGCCCCACGCUGCGC
RNAcentral lists this transfer RNA (72 nucleotides) under Felis catus (domestic cat). Its description in RNAcentral is "tRNA-OTHER". The record is from RNAcentral. Lineage: Eukaryota; Metazoa; Chordata; Mammalia; Carnivora; Felidae.